This is a long non-coding RNA of Pristis pectinata (smalltooth sawfish), 777 nucleotides long. RefSeq lists it as uncharacterized. NCBI's taxonomy places the organism in Eukaryota, Metazoa, Chordata, Chondrichthyes, Rhinopristiformes, Pristidae. The transcript is spliced from 3 exons. The record is from RefSeq and is a predicted model, not a curated record.
GGGGGCAGGAAUCUCUCGCAUGUGUCGGACAGUUAUCAUCAGACCGUGCCGGAGAAUUGGUGACGUUUGUGAUCUUUUAUUAAUCCUUCGCAACCCAGCACGUUCAGACAAAGUCAGAAAUGCAGCAAAGAGUGAUCCAUGCAUCAGAUGGCAUUGAGAUGGGCAGCGUCUCCCAGAGGGAAAGUAGCUGUGACGGCGAACUCGGUGAAUGUGGACUCGGACCUCUUACAUCAUCUGGGGAGGACACGGAGGACUCCGCGUAAACAUCGAGCUUGUUGUUUGGCCUGCUUAUUUCAGUCGGAGAGAAUAGGAAGACGUGACCAUCGCUGAAAACGUAAUCUUCAAGAUCUUUUAUUGCAGAUAAAUUGUUUCCGAGUUGGCUCAGAGGAAAGGACAAUACUUCCCCACACUUCGCGGCUUUUCAAACCCCAACUUGCGCCAUCAAGUCCUUUGAAAAGAAAUUCACAUCAUCAAGAAACCGCUUUAAUGGGAUUCUCCCUCCCCAUUACUAACUGCAUUUGAAGGCGGGCGUGGAUUUGCAAAAAAAAAUCACAUUUUUCCUUCCAAAGUCAGAAAUUCUUUUCGUCUGCAGUAAACAUCACGGAUUAGGCAAAGACUUCCCCCCCGCCCUGCUCUCUCUCUCUCUCUCUCGCCGAGUUCACCCGGCGACCAAACACGCGCAUUCCACAGAUUGCUGGCAAACUUCUGACUCCCGGUGGCACAGAAAAUAUGCAGGGCAGGACCAGAGCGGGGAUCGCACGUUGCCUUACCCGGGAU